GAUGAACGCUGGCGGCGUGCCUAAUACAUGCAAGUCGAGCGAACGGACGAGAAGCUUGCUUCUCUGAUGUUAGCGGCGGACGGGUGAGUAACACGUGGAUAACCUACCUAUAAGACUGGGAUAACUUCGGGAAACCGGAGCUAAUACCGGAUAAUAUUUUGAACCGCAUGGUUCAAAAGUGAAAGACGGUCUUGCUGUCACUUAUAGAUGGAUCCGCGCUGCAUUAGCAAGUUGGUAAGGUAACGGCUUACCAAGGCAACGAUGCAUAGCCGACCUGAAAGGGGGAUCGGCCACACGGGAACUGAGACACGGUCCAAACUCCUACGGAGGGCAGCGGUAGGGAAUCUUCCGCAAUGGGCGAAAGCCUGACGGGGAAACGCCGCGUGAGUGAUGAAGUUCUUCGGAUCGUAAAACUCUGUUAUUAGGGAAGAACAUAUGUGUAAGUAACUGUGCACAUCUUGACGGUACCUAAUCAGAAAGCCACGGCUAACUACGUG
RNAcentral lists this ribosomal RNA (497 nucleotides) under uncultured bacterium. RNAcentral describes it as "partial 16S ribosomal RNA". It matches the Rfam family "Bacterial small subunit ribosomal RNA", at positions 28 to 507 of the family's 1533-position model. The record is from RNAcentral.